Cyprinus carpio carpio is the source of this 965-nucleotide long non-coding RNA. NCBI's taxonomy places the organism in Eukaryota, Metazoa, Chordata, Actinopteri, Cypriniformes, Cyprinidae. The record is from Ensembl.
AUAAAAGCUCAGUUCUUUCUUGCCCUCUCUCAGACCUUUUUGUACAGGCCACUCGCUCUGGGAGUUGUCCAUGCUAUAUGAUAAGUCCAAAAUGCCCCCCUCUUAGGAACGAGCUCUGGAUGUUCAACAACUUUUACAUGGUUUCGCUUUACUCACGGCCCCCGUCUUCCCCGCACAGAUGUUGGAUACAUUACGAAACCUAUGAACAAUAAAGAAUGGCUUAAUGUUCUAAGGCUGCAAACAAAAGAAUGUUCUAAUGGCAGCAGCUUAUAUAUAUAUAAAAAAAGAUAUUUGGACAGGUUUAGGAUUCAAUUACUGUGUGAUUGAGUGUUGACAUUUUUGAGGCUACAUGACAGGAAAUUCAUUAGAAGCAGAGCAGCUUGGGAAGGAUUGCGGGCUGCCGUUAAAGGAAAUGGGUGAUUGCGAAAAGAAUGCUGGCGGAGGUAGAGAGGGCGCUGGAACAGAUGUUCAUGAAAAGCCGAUUGUAUUCCUUCUGAUGGUCGGGUGGCUGAAGUGGAGGUAGGCAGUGGAACAGAUGAAAGAGAAGCUGAAGAAUAAGAGUGUGGAACUCGCUCUCGUUGCCCGCAGUGAGGCAGAGGCCAGAGAGAGAUGCAGAUGGGCGCAUCCUCAGGGAAAGUGUCACGUUCCAGCGCUUGGUGGGAAUUGGGCAGAGGAAACAGGAAGGGGAGCCGAUGACAACAUCUGGUUGUGAUUUCAGAGAUGCGGGUGAAAUAUGAAAUCGAAACGGGCCUUACAGAAAUACAUGUUUCAGCAGCAGCUGCUAAGGGCAAUUUAUUACAAUUAAUAUCAUCUUAAUGUUACCUUUUGAGUGACAAAAUUAUUUGCUUUUAAUUUUCCACAAUAUUUUCUAGGCAUGCUUGGGACUUUUCCAGACCACAAAGUAAUCAUCUUUUUGUCAGCACGGCUAUCUCUUACCUUCUGCAGCGUUUGAAUGAAUUAUUGAA